Molecule: ribosomal RNA, 612 nt
Filed under: Stenotrophomonas rhizophila
Lineage: Bacteria; Pseudomonadati; Pseudomonadota; Gammaproteobacteria; Lysobacterales; Lysobacteraceae
Description: bacterial SSU rRNA
Rfam family: Bacterial small subunit ribosomal RNA
Source: RNAcentral
ACAAUGGGCGCAAGCCUGAUCCAGCCAUACCGCGUGGGUGAAGAAGGCCUUCGGGUUGUAAAGCCCUUUUGUUGGGAAAGAAAAGCAGUCGGAUAAUACCCGGUUGUUCUGACGGUACCCAAAGAAUAAGCACCGGCUAACUUCGUGCCAGCAGCCGCGGUAAUACGAAGGGUGCAAGCGUUACUCGGAAUUACUGGGCGUAAAGCGUGCGUAGGUGGUUGUUUAAGUCUGUUGUGAAAGCCCUGGGCUCAACCUGGGAAUUGCAGUGGAUACUGGGCGACUAGAGUGUGGUAGAGGGUAGUGGAAUUCCCGGUGUAGCAGUGAAAUGCGUAGAGAUCGGGAGGAACAUCCAUGGCGAAGGCAGCUACCUGGACCAACACUGACACUGAGGCACGAAAGCGUGGGGAGCAAACAGGAUUAGAUACCCUGGUAGUCCACGCCCUAAACGAUGCGAACUGGAUGUUGGGUGCAAUUUGGCACGCAGUAUCGAAGCUAACGCGUUAAGUUCGCCGCCUGGGGAGUACGGUCGCAAGACUGAAACUCAAAGGAAUUGACGGGGGCCCGCACAAGCGGUGGAGUAUGUGGUUUAAUUCGAUGCAACGCGAAGAACCU